CAAUAGGAUUUUCUAAAAUCCACCAUAAAGUCUAAUGAUAAACAGA
Non-coding RNA from Chlamydotis undulata (Houbara bustard), 46 nucleotides. NCBI's taxonomy places the organism in Eukaryota, Metazoa, Chordata, Aves, Otidiformes, Otididae. The record is from Rfam.